UGAUGAUUACGUAUCCCUACAGAUUUUUACUAAACACCCUGACGAACGCGACACCUGGUGAUACGUAUUCAAAGCGCUGCCAAUUGCACAAGCUGCACUUAUACACAGCAACGAUUCCACAGCUGCUGGUAGAAAUAAACACGGUUAUGAGGCUCAACGAAUAAGGCACUUGAGGAUGGAUAGUGUUUGAGUUUCCAAGUUCGAUCCCUGGUGAGAUAUUUCUUUCAUUAUGCUAGGUUUCCGCUGUUCCAUGUCAUAUCCCACUGCCGAGUAUGGAUUACAGACUGCGAUAGCGCGAACAUCACGAUUUUUGGCAAUAAGAUUGCAGAAAACCUAAAUAAAGCAAGUCUAUUUCAA
Daphnia magna is the source of this 357-nucleotide long non-coding RNA. RefSeq lists it as uncharacterized. The transcript has 2 exons. Lineage: Eukaryota; Metazoa; Arthropoda; Branchiopoda; Diplostraca; Daphniidae. The record is from RefSeq and is a predicted model, not a curated record.